This is an RNA transcript of Physcomitrium patens, 2482 nucleotides long. It is a transcript of the gene named beta-glucosidase 42, with no coding region annotated. The record is from RefSeq and is a predicted model, not a curated record. Lineage: Eukaryota; Viridiplantae; Streptophyta; Bryopsida; Funariales; Funariaceae.
GACACCGGCUCCGACAUGUCUUCGGCACCACCACCACUAACACAGCACAAGAGCCACAGUGAGUUCAGCACUUGCGCUCUCACUCUUGCAGCUCCUCAGAGCCAAAGCGGACGAGGGAGGAGGAGGAAGAGGAGGAAGAGGACGCAUCAACAACAAGGUGGGUUGGAACUGAUGACGACACGGAGUGCGUUCGGAUAUGCGCUGCAGGUGACGGGCUUUAUCCUGCUGGGAGUGCCCAUAUUGGUGCUGUUCUUGCAGCUCCCACGCGCUAUCACUCCCCACCGAAUCGACCCCUCUGUGUUGCCUUGCAAGCUGCACCAAGACGCUGAGCUCAGCAAUGCAUCCACCUGUGUGCCCUUCCACCGAUCGCUAUUCCCUGAGGGCUUCGUGUUCGGAACCGCCACGUCUUCGUACCAGGUCGAAGGCGCCGCUAAUGUGAGUGGUCGGGAGCCAAGCAUUUGGGACACAUUCUCCCGUAUUCCAGGAAAAAUUUCGGAUGGCAAGACUGGCGAUGUUGCAAGCGACCAGUAUGACAAGUAUAUGGGGGACAUCGACUUGAUGUCGCAGCUGAAUGUGGACGCUUACCGUUUUUCCAUCUCCUGGACGAGGGUCAUGAAACUGGGUGGGGAGACCCCUGAGGUGAACCAAGAAGGAGUAGCAUACUACAACAACCUCAUCAACGGUCUUUUGAAGAAAGGAAUUCAACCCUUCGUUACACUGUAUCAUUGGGACCUGCCGCAGUCUCUGAAUGACGCGUACGGCGGUUGGAUUGACCGCAAAGUUGUAAAUGAUUAUGCGCAGUUUGCUGAAGCAUGUUUCACUGCUUUCGGCGACCGAGUCAAGCACUGGAUCACCUUCAACGAGCCUCAGACGUUCACUGUGCUAGGAUAUGGCAAUGGUAUUCAUGCACCCGGAAGGUGCUCCGACCGAAGCAAGUGCACUGCAGGAAACACUGCCACGGAGCCUUACCUUGCGGCUCAUAAUGUACUCCUUGCUCACGCUGCAGCUGUAGACGUUUACAAGAGGAAAUUUAAGGCUAUGCAGGGUGGUGCAGUUGGCAUUUCAUUGGACUGUGAGUGGGGCGAGCCGGAGACUAAUUCUGCAGCUGAUGUGGAAGCAGCUGAACGGCACGUUCUUUUCCAGUUGGGCUGGUUUCUGGACCCAAUAUACCGUGGCGAUUACCCAGCAGUUAUGCGGACAAAUGUGGGCAACCGGUUGCCUGAAUUCACAGCAGAUGAGUUAGCAUUACUGAAAGGAUCCUUGGACUUCAUCGGCUUGAACCACUACACUUCCAGGUUUAUAUCCAGCGGUUCCGGUCCUGGGAAUGCACUUACCAGCGACCACUGGCAAGAUCAGGGAAUCUUGUCUUCAGCUGUGCAGUUACAUCCCGGAACGGAUCUCAAAUUGGGCAUCAGGCAGCAUCAGAGUGGCUGUACAUCGUGCCUUGGGGUAUUGGAAAGACAUUGGUGUGGCUGACAGAACGAUACCAGAAGCCACUGAUAUUUGUCACGGAAAAUGGCAUGGACGACCUAGAUGGCUCCAAGCCAGUACCUGAAUUACUGAACGACGUGAACCGCAUCGAUUUCUACGAAAAUUAUUUGUCCUCUGUUCUCUCAGCAAUAGGAAAUGGAUCAGACGUCCGCGGCUACUUCGCGUGGUCACUGAUGGAUAACUUUGAGUGGUCGAUGGGAUACACUCGACGAUUCGGGCUACUUUACGUGGACUACGACAACCAACAGAGAUCACUCAAAGAGUCGGCCAAGUGGUUUUCUCGGUUUCUAACUCGGGCUAAGUGAAUUUGUACUUUCAAGAAUCCUUAAAGAAAUUCCGAAAAACUGUGUACUACAGUACAAAUUUUGGACUUCGAGGCAGUUCGAAGGCGUGCGACAUGUUGCCGCUAUUUUAUAAAUUCCUACUACAGACUCUUGGGUGCAGCGUCUGCUGCUUGUAGAGUGAAUUGCCGUGGGUAAUUUCAAGCGCCUAGGUGGAAGAAGCUGCAAUUUGAACUUGAGAGGAAUUUGAAGGCAAACCCCUGGUGUCCUAUGUUCCACCCUCAUUCGACAUGUAGAACUCUGUUUUAUCCUUGUACCCAGUCGGUUUACUCGAUUGCUAGUAGUCAAGCCGACAAGCAAGCCUCACAAGUCUCCGUGGAUUCAUCUUCUCCCAACACAAGGAAAAAAAGGUCCUGCACAAGUUGUCCCGGUACUACUGAUUCAACUCUUCGCCAUGAGUUCGGUGUAUAUUUCUCUGGACGCCACACGAUUGUCUUCUUGACCCAGCUUAAAUUUUGCUAGUUCACCGUUCAGGCUAUUUUCCACAACCGCAUCUCUUUAAGGCUACAUUUUGAACAGGGUCGAGGUACUGGAAACCCCGUUUAUGUCUGAAAUCAGUAUCCUUGAACAUUGUUCUCAUCAUCAUUGAACACGAUCCUGUUGCCACUUGCGCAACAAUGGUCAGCUUCCUGGAUUGGCCCGUUUGCUCA